Molecule: ribosomal RNA, 119 nt
Filed under: Pteropus alecto (black flying fox)
Lineage: Eukaryota; Metazoa; Chordata; Mammalia; Chiroptera; Pteropodidae
Source: RNAcentral
AUCUAUGACCAUGCCAUCCUGAACGUGUCUGAUCUCGUCUGAUCUCAGAAGCUAAGCAGGCUAAGGCCUGGUUAGUACUUGGAAGGAAGACCACCUAGGAAUAGCAGGUGCUGUAGGUG